AACGAACGCUGGCGGCAGGCCUAACACAUGCAAGUCGAGCGAGAUCUUCGGGUCUAGCGGCGGACGGGUGAGUAACGCGUGGGAAUAUGCCUCUUGGUACGGAAUAGCCUCGGGAAACUGGGAGUAAUACCGUAUGUGCCCUUUGGGGGAAAGAUUUAUCGCCAAGAGAUUAGCCCGCGUUGGAUUAGGUAGUUGGUGGGGUAAUGGCCUACCAAGCCGACGAUCCAUAGCUGGUUUGAGAGGAUGAUCAGCCACACUGGGACUGAGACACGGCCCAGACUCCUACGGGAGGCAGCAGUGGGGAAUCUUAGACAAUGGGGGCAACCCUGAUCUAGCCAUGCCGCGUGAGUGAUGAAGGCCUUAGGGCUGUAAAGCUCUUUCAGCUGGGAAGAUAAUGACGGUACCAGCAGAAGAAGCCCCGGCUAACUCCGUG
Molecule: ribosomal RNA, 433 nt
Filed under: uncultured bacterium
Lineage: Bacteria
Description: partial 16S ribosomal RNA
Rfam family: Bacterial small subunit ribosomal RNA
Source: RNAcentral